UGCCAGCCGCCGCGGUAAUACGGAGGGUGCAAGCGUUGUUCGGAAUUAUUGGGCGUAAAGCGUGCGUAGGCGGACUGUUAAGUCUGAUGUGAAAUCCCGCGGCUCAACCGCGGACGUGCAUUGGAUACUGGCAGUCUUGAGUCCUGGAGAGGAGAGCGGAAUUCCUAGUGUAGAGGUGAAAUUCGUAGAUGUUAGGAGGAACACCAGUGGCGAAAGCGGCUCUCUGGGCUGUAACUGACGCUGAGGAGCGAAAGCAUGGGGAGCGAACAGGAUUAGAUA
This 279-nucleotide ribosomal RNA is filed under the name uncultured bacterium. RNAcentral's name for it is "partial 16S ribosomal RNA". It matches the Rfam family "Bacterial small subunit ribosomal RNA", at positions 506 to 784 of the family's 1533-position model. The record is from RNAcentral.